This 450-nucleotide ribosomal RNA is filed under the name uncultured Alphaproteobacteria bacterium. RNAcentral describes it as "bacterial SSU rRNA". It matches the Rfam family "Bacterial small subunit ribosomal RNA", at positions 400 to 872 of the family's 1533-position model. Lineage: Bacteria; Pseudomonadati; Pseudomonadota; Alphaproteobacteria. The record is from RNAcentral.
CGUGAGUGAAGAAGGCCUUAGGGUUGUAAAGCUCUUUCAGAUGUGAGGAUGAUGACGAUAGCAUCACAAGAAGCUCCGGCUAACUUCGUGCCAGCAGCCGCGGUAAUACGAAGGGAGCAAGCGUUGUUCGGAAUUACUGGGCGUAAAGGGCGUGUAGGCGGAUUAUCAAGUUAGGGGUGAAAUCCCGGGGCUCAACCUCGGCACUGCCUUUAAGACUGAUAAUCUAGAGUAUGUGAGGGGAUAAUGGAAUACCUAGUGUAGAGGUGAAAUUCGUAGAUACUAGGUGGAACACCAGUGGCGAAGGCGAUUAUCUGGCACAUUACUGACGCUGAGGCGCGAAAGCGUGGGGAGCAAACGGGAUUAGAUACCCCGGUAGUCCACGCCGUAAACGAUGUAUACUAGUUGUCGGGCAUUGGUUCGGUGACGCAGCUAACGCAUUAAGUAUACCGC